This is a long non-coding RNA of Rhinolophus ferrumequinum (greater horseshoe bat), 498 nucleotides long. RefSeq lists it as uncharacterized. Lineage: Eukaryota; Metazoa; Chordata; Mammalia; Chiroptera; Rhinolophidae. The record is from RefSeq and is a predicted model, not a curated record. The transcript has 3 exons.
AGCUAUGAAAUAAACGAGGAACGUGACCUGAAGUGGGAAGGCCAGAGAGCAGACAAGACACGACGAGGACUUGAACCCGUGCUUGGGAAGCUGGCAUGAAAAGAGACGUUCAACAGACACUUCUAAGCAUAUAUCGGAGACUGUGGCUUAUACCUGCCAACAAGUGGGCUUCGCAGUGCUGAACCUCAGAAGUAGACUUACCCACCCACCCAGCAUCCCUGGACCAAAGCAGACCUUGACAAUUUCAGGGACAAAGUCUGCCUCUGGAACAUUGGCGGGGAAUGGUGGCUCCCUGGGGCAGCUUGCACCCAAAAAGAUAUGUUGAUGCAAGCAGGAUUUGAGAUGGCUUCUGGUGAAUUCUAGACUGCUUCUGAGUAGCUUAUCCCUCAUCACAAACAUUUGGAGGCGGGGAAGAGUCAGGAAGCAGCUGACUGCAGACAACAGCUUUUCUCCGCUUGCAUGCGUGCUGGACCAUCUCUACAAAAGAAGCCAGACAAG